GUCGACAGGUGGACAUCCCCCCAGCAUUUCAGUUGCUGCGUCACAUUAUCCUCAGAGUCGUGUUAGAUUGUAUGGUGAUAUGUUAUACUAGUAACUUACAAGUAUACAGUAAGCCAUAGGACAAGACAUCGUCGAGGUCUUCAAGAUGGUGUUGCCUGCUUGGAGGACUUCCGUUCUUCUGGCAUCUUUGUCUCUUCUCUUGCUUCUGGCCGCCUCUAACGGAGCCAAGUCCAAGACCUUCCUCAGCAACAAUGACGUGCCGCAGUAUGAAUUGACAGGAUCCUCGAGCUCCCUCCCCGCUGGAUCCCACAGAGUACAGAGACACUAAAAGUAAGACGAGGAAGGGUGCUUCUAAAUUGAGAGACACCAAGUCUUCCGCAUCUAGUGACCUUUCUCUGCCUUAUGAAGCGGAGGAAAUUUUGGAGGUGGAUUCGUCAGGGAUACCAGAUCGCCCCUCUGAGAUGCCCGGCCUUGGGCCAUUUAAGGGAGGCCAAGGCAAUGGAAGACGCAAGAAGCUCCAUCAAUACGGUGAGUGU
This is a long non-coding RNA of Homarus americanus (American lobster), 536 nucleotides long. RefSeq lists it as uncharacterized. The transcript has 3 exons. The record is from RefSeq and is a predicted model, not a curated record. NCBI's taxonomy places the organism in Eukaryota, Metazoa, Arthropoda, Malacostraca, Decapoda, Nephropidae.